CCAGACUCCUACGGGAGGCAGCAGUGGGGAAUAUUGCACAAUGGGCGGAAGCCUGAUGCAGCAACGCCGCGUGCGGGAUGACGGCCUUCGGGUUGUAAACCGCUUUCGCCUGUGACGAAGCGUGAGUGACGGUAAUGGGUAAAGAAGCACCGGCUAACUACGUGCCAGCAGCCGCGGUGAUACGUAGGGUGCGAGCGUUGUCCGGAUUUAUUGGGCGUAAAGGGCUCGUAGGUGGUUGAUCGCGUCGGAAGUGUAAUCUUGGGGCUUAACCCUGAGCGUGCUUUCGAUACGGGUUGACUUGAGGAAGGUAGGGGAGAAUGGAAUUCCUGGUGGAGCGGUGGAAUGCGCAGAUAUCAGGAGGAACACCAGUGGCGAAGGCGGUUCUCUGGGCCUUUCCUGACGCUGAGGAGCGAAAGCGUGGGGAGCGAACAGGCUUAGAUACCCUGGUAGUCCACGCUGUACACGGUGGGUACUAGGUGUGGGGUCCAUUCCACGGGUUCCGUGCCGUAGCUAACGCUUUAAGUACCCCGCCUGGGGAGUACGGCCGCAAGGCUAAAACUCAAAGGAAUUGACGGGGGCCCGCACAAG
This 588-nucleotide ribosomal RNA is filed under the name uncultured bacterium. RNAcentral describes it as "bacterial SSU rRNA". It matches the Rfam family "Bacterial small subunit ribosomal RNA", at positions 331 to 929 of the family's 1533-position model. The record is from RNAcentral.